This 67-nucleotide microRNA precursor is filed under the name Nomascus leucogenys (northern white-cheeked gibbon). RNAcentral describes it as "miRNA (ENSNLEG00000032556.1)". Lineage: Eukaryota; Metazoa; Chordata; Mammalia; Primates; Hylobatidae. The record is from RNAcentral.
AUUAGGUUGGUGCAAAAGUAAUCACAGUUUUGCCAUUUCUUUCAAUGGCAAAAACCGCGAUUACUUU